GCCGAGGUAGCUCAGCUUGGUAGAGCACUUGACUGAAAAUCAAGGUGUCGUGAGUUCAAAUCUCACCCUCGGCACCA
This 77-nucleotide transfer RNA is filed under the name bacterium. RNAcentral's name for it is "tRNA-Phe". It matches the Rfam family "tRNA". Rfam says of the family: Transfer RNA (tRNA) molecules are approximately 80 nucleotides in length. Their secondary structure includes four short double-helical elements and three loops (D, anti-codon, and T loops). RNAcentral also lists the same sequence under 5 other names. The record is from RNAcentral.